CCGAGUGAGGGCCCUCUGGGUCCAACCUCCCACCCGUGUUUAUUAUACCUUGUUGCUUUGGCGGGCCCGCCUCACGGCCGCCGGGGGGCUUCUGCCCCCGGGCCCGUGCCCGCCGAAGACACCUUAGAACUCUGUCUGAAGAUUGUAGUCUGAGUAAAAAUAUAAAUUAUUUA
RNAcentral lists this unclassified non-coding RNA (173 nucleotides) under uncultured Penicillium. RNAcentral's name for it is "sequence contains ITS1". Lineage: Eukaryota; Fungi; Ascomycota; Eurotiomycetes; Eurotiales; Aspergillaceae. The record is from RNAcentral.